AGGCAAUACGCAAAAAGAUAGGACUUUCUAAGAAAGUCAGAAGCUGGUCUCCUGCAGGCACAGGAAGCCAUCAAAGUCAAAGUGGCCCAAGAACUUGCCAGUCAAGAUGAAAAACUUCUUCUAAUGGAAUCCAGCUUGAAAGCUACUCAAGAGCAGCUAACUGAGCAAAUAGCAGAAACAGUUCGCCAAGAACAGAACAGUAGAAAACCCCAGGCAGAGCUGAAGACAGUGACAGAAGGGAUUAUUGCUUCUGAAGAAGAAAAAAAUGAUUACAAAUCUUCCAUUUUACCAUCUGUUACAACUUCAUUGCAAAAGGUGUGAAAGAAGAGGGAAAUGAAAUUGGUAAAUAUUUUGAAGCCAGACUGAGAUAUUUGGCCAAGAUUCUAGAACAGUGGAACUAUUUUAAUCAAAGGAAAUCUUAUGUGGCCAAAAAAGAAAAUAACACGAAUUGUACUCUUUGAAGUAGAGUUAGUUGAUAAGCUUGGAAGGUGGAUCUCCCUCCCUCUCUCCGCAAUUCCCUGCUUUGGAAAGCACUGCCCUCUCCAGAAACCAUUGGAUCUGAAGAGUAUGUAUUGGAAAACCUCCCCUGAAUACCACAUGACGAACAACCAGAAGGUUUACACUACGGAAGACUGGAAAAUCAGAUCUGUGCGGGGAGACAAUGAAGACUAUGAAAACAAUUAGAAAAUAAGAAUAUGUUUGCAAAAAAAAAGUCAUAAGGAAAGAAAUUGAAAAAGAUUUGAAAGCACGGUAUUUCGUUUCUGUUAGUUUGUUAGCCAAGCAAAAUUACACACAUGACACAGGCUUCUUUCAACUUGAUGUGCCGAAUGGACGUGGUUAUGUCAUUAAACAAUGCAAUAAAAGGGAAAGAAACAUCAUGUUUUGCAGAUGAAGAAGAAAAAUAUUUGUUGGCUGGAGACGCUUGCAGAGUGUCUCUGGCAGAGAUGCGCCAUUGGCGUUUGAAAACAUGAGCACUCUGACUUGCUUUCUAUAAUGAAAAAUUUACUUACAUAACUUUAUGCUUUUUGAUCACUGUUCCAAUAAGGAAUUGUGUCCUUGGAGGCAUCUAAUAAUCAAAGAAUUACCUCAUUCACACGAUAGAACAAUCACUGGAAAAUAUAAUGGCUAAUUGGGAUUCUUGAAAUUAAACGUGGUGGUGGUAUUACUUGUGAAAGGAGACUAAAUGGUUCAUGAUUUUAAUUUUAAUCCUAAAGAAUGACUUUCUAAUAGUCAUAAAUGCCUUUCUUUCAAAGAGGUGAUAGACUUCCUGAAAAUGUUCAGUCUUAAUAAGGAUGCCUAUUUGGCAUGCAUGCUUGUCAAGGCAUUCAAGUAUCUGUGAAGUGGUUGACCCCCAAUUUGUAAGUUAUUUUGCAGUUUUCCAUAUCUGUCAGUCUAUGACCCCCCUUGACUUUUAAGCUGAAAUGUCGAUAUAUCAGAAAAACGGUAACUAUCCGGUUGCUAACUUUCUGUGGUCUCAACUUGAACUUUUCCCCACUGUCUCAGCUUACCCAUGCACCACCCACCACAGGACAAGUAUGCAAGUAAAUAGCCUACAAAGGAGAUGUAAUUUUCUAGUGCUGCAUUUCAUUUGUCUUCAGGUGACAUUGCAGUUCACCUCAUGGUCUAAGCUACCAACACGAGACUUAUCUCUAUUUCCCUCCAACCAUCUGACUUACCACAUUUCCUGAAGAUCUCCAGUGUCCACCCCUACCUAUCGCUUGUGAUUGACUUCCUUUUUCAGAUAAAAUUUAAGAUCCUCAGCAUGGAAAACCAAGUUGUUUGUAACCUGAUCCUGGUUAAUUGGUAGAGCAUCAUCUUUCACCACUUUUGCUAUGACAUGUUAUUUUCUAGCAAAAAGGACUUUCAGUUCCACAGACACACACACUGAGAACAAACAUAUCUGUGUCUUAAAGGCCUCGGUUCUUUUUCUAUAUAGAAAAUAUUUAAUCUACUUUCAACACUUGAUCAAAUCUUAACCAUUUUUCUCUAAUGACCUUUUUAUCCCAGUUCAAUACCUAAUAAAUCAUUACAUUGUCACAAAUAUAUAGUAAGUAUCUGUUGACCUUCAAAUAAUGCUACCUCUGAAGCAUCAUUGUAGAAAUAAAAUAUGAUGUACAUGUAUAAUUUUAAAUUUUCUAGGACUUAUGUUAAUAAAAGGCAAAAAAAGGAGGAGGUGAACCUAAUUUUAAUGACAUAUUUUAUUAAUUUUAAAUCUUAUUUCAAAAUAUAAUCAAUAUAAAAUUAUAAAUGAGACCUUUAAAAAUUUUAAUAUGGUCUUUAAAAUCUGGUGUGUAUUUUACAUUUACAGCACAUCUCGAUUUGUUCUAGCUAAAUUUAAGUACUCGAUAGCCUUAAUUAAGUACUCAAUAACAUGUGGCUAGUGGCUUUUAUAUCCACAAAGCAGCAACAGUAAUUGGUCAACCUUGGUUCACCAGUCAAAUCCAGUCCAAUAUCUGUGUGAUUUGGGAGCAAAGAUAGAUUCUCACAUUUUUAAAUUGUUGAAAAAGAUGAGAAAAAGAAUAUUUAUUGACACCUGAAAAUGAUAUGAAAUUCAAAUUUCAGACUCCUUAAUAAAGAUUUAUUAGAGCAUAGCCAUGCUCAUUUACUUAUAGAUUUUCUGUGGCAAAUUUCAUGCUAAAAAUGACAGAGUCAAUUACUUUUGAGUGGCUGUAUGACCCCAAAAGCUUAAAAUAUUUACCAUCUGGACCUUUACAGAAAAAGUUUGCUGACUUCUGCUUUAGAGGGUUCACUCUGCUAGGACCACGAUCACAUGCUAGUUGUCUUUGUUUGCACUCAACACAGGGCUGACACACAAAAGAGACUUAAUAAUUUCAGAAUAAAAUAUAUUUUAUAAAUCCAAUGAAAUGAACAUUUGUUGAACAACUACAGUCCUAAAACACAUCCUCUCUACCUAUAAAUCAUACCUUAAAAUUUUUCCAGUUCAAAAUAUGAUACCACCAGAACAGAGAAAUGAUAAAGCAGUCAAAAGCAGAAUUCUCAAUUCAGAUCUGAGUCCAAGCUCCAGUUUUGCCCCAUCUAUAAUCUGGAGUAAUUUAUUUACCUUCUGUAAUCCUUUCAUUCAGUAUCUGUAAAAUAGGGAAAAUAAUGCUGACCUCACAGGUUUGCAACAAUUAAGUGGAUGAUGCAUAUAAUAACAGUAUAGUGACUGAACAUGCUAAGUUUUCAAUAAAUGUUAUUUUUGUACAUAUAUCUGAAGUGUCCUAUUCUAAUUGACUCCUUUCAAUAGCCUUUAGUCACUGCUUUUGAAGAAAGUGAUACCUUAAUUAAUUUGUGUUUCAAAACUGUAAGUAUUCAUUUAGGAAAGUCUCACCACAACUAUAAAAAUAUUUUGGACACUAAAACAUAUCGUUAGACUAUUGGAGCUAGAUGAGUCCUUUAAAUGUAUAUACACACAUACUCUGUUUAAAUGGAAAUGAAGAAUAUCUUCAAAGGGAAAAGGGGGAUUUCUGUAUAAAGAACAUGAAAGAAAUAUUACUUAGAAAGCUUUAACCAUUUUAGAAUCAGAAACAAACAUGUUUUAGCAAUAUACUAUAUAGCUUUACCCUAGACCCGUAAAACAUUUAAGUCACAGUGUAAAAAUUCAUUAGUGAUGGUAAAUUGUUACAAAAUAUCGUUCUAUUUAAUAUUUUAAAAUUAUUCAAAUCACAUAGCUCCAUUUAUUUCCCUUGUUGAAAUGUUCCCGUAGCUGAAAAUAACUCUUUGGACAGUUAUGUUUCAUUUAGGUUUUAUGGCUCCUUGGAGUGAAGAGAGGAAGAGAGCUGUAAUUUUCUGGACGUAGAGAAUCGUUUGCUAUGGUAAACUGGAUAAAUGCUUGGGUUGCCUCAUGGGAGUAGCAUACAGAAGAGUAGCUGGUUCUAUUCUGCUGAGAUGCCAGGGUCUCCCUAUUCUUUCCAAAUCAGUGGCCUUAGAGGGAUCGUGAAUUGCUGAGGUAGAACAAUCCUUACUCCUCUUUAUCUCUCAUCUACUGCCUUUGAAAUCAACUGGAGCCGCAUACUUGGAAGCAGCACAGAGGGUAAGGCUGGAAAUAAAAAUAUGGCCUAGGAUUUGUGAUGCUCAAGUGACUCUGAUCCAUUUCUCCAAUAGCAGUAGGACUGAACUAAGCGAGACUUAUCACUGACACAUCGCAGUUCAUAGUGUUCUAAUUCAUUUUACAGAAGUAAUCCUAUUCCAGCUCUACCAUGACUCUUUUCAAUAGAACGUGUGCUUUGGCUUCAUUUGAAAUAAUUCUUCAUUAAGUUCAUAAUACCCGAUGUUAUCAGAUUAUGCAGAUACAGAAAGUGCCAGGCCUUCUUUGUGAGCAAAAUUAAAGUGGUUAAAAACACCUAUGAUAUGCAAUGCUCACGUGUCACGUAAAAUACACUCCCAACAUGCCAAAAUUUUCUCUUCCUUCAUUUAAGCAGUUUCUGGAAUUCUACACCUGUCUUUCUGACUAAAUAAAUAUGGGGAUAAACAAAACCAUUUGCUUCCUUAUUCUGCAUACAACAAAAUACACUUAUUCUUUCUUAUGUGUAGGAUUGAUAUUUUAAAGCUAAUGCUCUGCUUAGCACCUGUUCAAUUUUAUGGAUGCCCUGCACAUCUAAGGUACUGUAAACCUCAUAGAAAUCAUGCCCUGUGUCUACCUAAUUGGCUUAAUAUCAGUAUAUAUUAUUUUGUUUUGUAUUUAGAGGCUCUUCAUCAUCAAUUAUGAGGAUGUUGAUUUUACUCUUUCACCUAAAAUAAAAAAUAAAAAAGGAAACUAAAAUGUGUUGCAUGCAUUGGAACCAUACAUAAGGGAGCGAGAGAAUAAUUAUCACUGUAUAAUAUUUUACAAUGGAAUGUUUCAGAUUGUUACUGAAAUUAAAGUGUUGAUUUUACUUUUUUCUUUUUAAUUUGUAACACUAUGUUCCACUUUUAUAAAUUUACUUUAUGCAUCAAAAAUAGAUGGAAUUGUUUGAAAUAUUUAUUACCAUGAAUUGGUCACAAACAACACUAUGAAAUAAUUAUAUUGCCCUUAGCUUCCUUGGAUUUAGUGAUUUUUCUCCUACAAAAAAAAACAAUAUUCACAUGGUUUUAAAUGAGAGAAACCAGCCAUUUACUGAAGAGAGAAAUAAGAUAAAGGGUCCAAAAUUUAACUUCAUGCUACUGACAAACACAUAAUUGGUAUUAUAUUUUUGUCAAUAAUUUUAGUUAAAAAAAUACUCUGUAGUUUAUUUUAAAACUGUUACCGUGUAAAUAAUAUUUUAUUUAAGUGUAUAAUUAUACAUCAGUUUCAAUUCAAAAUAACAUAAUCUUUUGGAUUCUUUAGAGUCUAGUUACACACUGAGUAAGCAGUCUCUUGUUUUAAGUCAAACUUCUAUCACUAAUCAUGGAGGAACAAAGAUGUGUCCAAAUUUUGAAGGAACAUGGGUGUCCCAAAGCUCAGAUAAUGAAUUUUAGCUCUCUCUGGAGAAAAGCCUUUCCUGUAUGUAGCCUGGCAAUAUUCCAAGAUUUCUUUUUAAAAGUAACUCCAUAUGUGUACUGAAAAUAAGCUAGUGAUGUUUUAAAUCAACUGGAAAGAGAGGCUGUUCUUUUCAAUAUUUUUUUCCUGAGCAUAACUUUGAAGUGCAGCAUUUGGGGAUUAUGAAGGUUUGGGUUACCUGCUGAAUGAAGGCAUGGAAAAUUAUUUGAAAGUACCCUUUUUUUGAAAGUGUACUUUAAACUUAUGAAAUAUCACCUGUGGUUAAGAGAAGGUAUGCAAUUCAAAGCAUUUUUUUUAACCUAAAGACAAAGAGUUAAUUUUAAAUUGUGAUUAUAUUUUCCAAGUUUUCUAUGGCUACAAGAUCAUAAUCAAAAGUUUGCGGUUCACUUCUUUUUAAAGGCAAGGGAUGAUGGGGACGAGUAAGUGCUAUUGACUUAAAGAAAAUAUCGGUACGUUUAUAAUGAGUCGGGUACUGUGCGCAAAACUGAACCAAAGACUACAGCUCACUAUGCUCUAAUGAUUGUCUCACAGCAGGUAUUUUAAGUGAUUUCAUUUCCAAAUAAAUUCAACUUUCAUCUA
This is a long non-coding RNA of Acinonyx jubatus (cheetah), 6037 nucleotides long. RefSeq lists it as uncharacterized. The record is from RefSeq and is a predicted model, not a curated record. The transcript is spliced from 3 exons. NCBI's taxonomy places the organism in Eukaryota, Metazoa, Chordata, Mammalia, Carnivora, Felidae.